AGUGAACGCUGGCGGUAGGCCUAACACAUGCAAGUCGAACGGCAGCACAGUAAGAGCUUGCUCUUACGGGUGGCGAGUGGCGGACGGGUGAGGAAUACAUCGGAAUCUACUUUUUCGUGGGGGAUAACGUAGGGAAACUUACGCUAAUACCGCAUACGACCUACGGGUGAAAGCAGGGGAUCUUCGGACCUUGCGCGAUUGAAUGAGCCGAUGUCGGAUUAGCUAGUUGGCGGGGUAAAGGCCCACCAAGGCGACGAUCCGUAGCUGGUCUGAGAGGAUGAUCAGCCACACUGGAAGUGAAACACGGUCCAGACUCCUGCGGGAGGUAGCAGUGGGGUAUAUUGGACAUUGGGCGCAAGCCUGAUCCAGCCAUACCGCGUGGGUGAAGAAGGCCUUCGGGUUGUAAAGCCCUUUUGUUGGGAAAGAAAAGCAGCAGGUUAAUACCCCGCUGUUCUGACGGUACCCAAAGAAUAAGCACCGGCUAACUUCGUG
RNAcentral lists this ribosomal RNA (492 nucleotides) under uncultured bacterium. RNAcentral's name for it is "partial 16S ribosomal RNA". It matches the Rfam family "Bacterial small subunit ribosomal RNA", at positions 29 to 507 of the family's 1533-position model. The record is from RNAcentral.